Molecule: ribosomal RNA, 301 nt
Filed under: uncultured bacterium
Lineage: Bacteria
Description: partial 16S ribosomal RNA
Rfam family: Bacterial small subunit ribosomal RNA
Source: RNAcentral
CAGUCGCCGCGGUAAUACGUAGGUGGCAAGCGUUGUCCGGAAUUAUUGGGCGUAAAGGGCUCGCAGGCGGUUUCUUAAGUCUGAUGUGAAAGCCCCCGGCUCAACCGGGGAGGGUCAUUGGAAACUGGGAAACCUGAGUGCAGAAGAGGAAAGUGGAAUUCCACGUGUAGCGGUGAAAUGCGUAGAGAUGUGGAGGAACACCAGUGGCGAAGGCGACUCUCUGGUCUGUAACUGACGCUGAGGAGCGAAAGCGUGGGGAGCGAACAGGAUUAGAUACCCGUGUAGUCCCUGUCUCUUAUAA